GGACUACUGGGGUAUCUAAUCCCGUUUGCUCCCCUGGCUUUCGCGCCUCAGCGUCAGAAAAGGUCCAGCGUGUCGCUUUCGCCACCGGCGUUCCUUCCGAUAUCUACGCAUUUCACCGCUCCACCGGAAGUUCCACACGCCCCUACCUUCCUCCAGACCAGCAGUAUCCAAGGCCCUUUUCCGGUUGAGCCGAAAGCUUUCACCCCGGACUUGCUGACCCGCCUACGCGCCCUUUAAGCCCAGUGAAUCCGAACAACGUUCGCACGGUUCGUCUUACCGCGGCUGCUGGCAC
Molecule: ribosomal RNA, 292 nt
Filed under: uncultured Planctomycetota bacterium
Lineage: Bacteria; Pseudomonadati; Planctomycetota
Description: uncultured planctomycete partial 16S ribosomal RNA
Source: RNAcentral